AUUGAACGCUGGCGGCAGGCCUAACACAUGCAAGUCGAGCGGAUGAAGGGAGCUUGCUCCUGGAUUCAGCGGCGGACGGGUGAGUAAUGCCUAGGAAUCUGCCUGGUAGUGGGGGAUAACGUCCGGAAACGGGCGCUAAUACCGCAUACGUCCUGAGGGAGAAAGUGGGGGAUCUUCGGACCUCACGCUCUCAGAUGAGCCUAGGUCGGAUUAGCUAGUUGGUGGGGUAAAGGCCUACCAAGGCGACGAUCCGUAACUGGUCUGAGAGGAUGAUCAGUCACACUGGAACCGAGACACGGUCCAGACUCCUGCGGGAGGCAGCAGUGGGGAAUAUUGGACAAUGGGCGAAAGCCUGAUCCAGCCAUGCCGCGUGUGUGAAGAAGGUCUUCGGAUUGUAAAGCACUUUAAGUUGGGAGGAAGGGCAGUAAGUUAAUACCUUGCUGUUUUGACGUUACCAACAGAAUAAGCACCGGCUAACUUCGUG
Molecule: ribosomal RNA, 484 nt
Filed under: uncultured bacterium
Lineage: Bacteria
Description: partial 16S ribosomal RNA
Rfam family: Bacterial small subunit ribosomal RNA
Source: RNAcentral